This 443-nucleotide ribosomal RNA is filed under the name uncultured bacterium. RNAcentral's name for it is "partial 16S ribosomal RNA". It matches the Rfam family "Bacterial small subunit ribosomal RNA", at positions 338 to 795 of the family's 1533-position model. The record is from RNAcentral.
CCUACGGGAGGCAGCAGUGGGGGAUAUUGCACAAUGGGGGGAACCCUGAUGCAGCGACGCCGCGUGAAGGAAGAAGGCCCUCGGGUUGUAAACUUCUUUUAUCAAGGACGAAACAAAUGACGGUACUUGAUGAAUAAGCCACGGCUAACUACGUGCCAGCAGCCGCGGUAAUACGUAGGUGGCAAGCGUUAUCCGGAUUUACUGGGUGUAAAGGGCUUGUAGGCGGGACUGAAAGUCAGAUGUGAAAACCAUGGGCUCAACCCAUGGCCUGCAUUUGAAACUGUAGUUCUUGAGGGUUGGAGAGGCAGGCGGAAUUCGGUGUGUAGCGGUGAAAUGCGUAGAUAUCCGGAGGAACACCAGUGGCGAAGGCGGCCUGCUGGACAAUAACUGACGCUGAGGCGCGAAAGCGUGGGGAGCAAACAGGAUUAGAUACCCCUGUAGUC